RNAcentral lists this long non-coding RNA (3380 nucleotides) under Sus scrofa (pig). Its description in RNAcentral is "lncRNA (ENSSSCG00055015515.1)". The record is from RNAcentral. Lineage: Eukaryota; Metazoa; Chordata; Mammalia; Artiodactyla; Suidae.
UUUUUUUUUUUUUUUGUCUUUUUGCUAUUUCUUUGGGCCGCUCGCGAGGCACAUGGAGGUUCCCAGGCUAGGGGUCCAAUCGGAGCUCUNNNNNNNNNNNNNNNNNNNNNNNNNNNNNNNNNNNNNNNNAAAAAAAAAAAAAAAAAAAAAAGAAAAAAGAAAAUAGCUCUUUGUCAUGUAAGGAAGUUUGUUGUAUUGUAUAACAUGCUUCUUUCCUUUGGCAUCAAAAUUCAAAACCGAAUCCAUGUAUAGAUAAAAUAUCUGAAAUUUGACCACUUUGCACUGUGUGUGUGAGCUGGCAAAGUGGCACAGACCAUUUGGAAAAUCAAAACAAUGGUGGUUUCUACUGGACUUGGGAGGAUAUUGGCAUAAUUCUGGAAAAGUUGCAGAAACCAUAGCUGGAACAUUAGAUUUUUUUAUAAUUUUUUAUGAUAUUAUUUAUUUUGCCAACAUAGAAUCUACAACAAGUCAAAGCUAUGUGUUGUUAUAUAGUUGUUUUUAAAGUACUUUUUAAGAAAGUCAGUAGAAGUAAGAAUAAUUGUAUUGUGGCAUGUGUGCGCAUAUUUGUGUGCAUCUUACCUGGAAACUUUCUUGAGAGCCACCUGUUAGGUUCCCAUUCUUGAAUUGCUAGCCCUUCUGAGACUAAUGAAGAGAAAAUAAAUCUCUAAUACAGAUACUCAAAAGUAUCUGCUUAUUGUUGUUUCUGGAUUUAUUUAUCCUGAAGUGAAUGUGCAAAUAGAGAAAUUCAGAGAGUUAUAAUAAUAGUAUGUUAUUUUUUAUUCUUACAGUCUUAAGUGCAACAGCAGUAAAGUAGUAUUAAAUAUUAAAAGGAAAACUAAUCAUUUGUAAUUAAAAAACAUUUUCUGGAGUUCCCGUCAGUGGUGCAGUGGAAACGAAUCUGACUAGGAACCAUGAGGUUGAGGGUUCGAUCCCUGGCCUCACUCAGUGUAUUAUGGAUCCUGUGUUGGGGUGAGCUGUGGCGUAGCUCACAGACAGAGCUCGGAUCUGGUGUUGCUGUGGCUCUGGCAUAGGCUGGUGGCAAUAGCUCUGAUUAGACCCCUAGCCUGGGAACCUCCAUAUGCUUGCGGGUACGGCUCUAAAAAAGACAAAAGACAAAAAAUAAACAUUUUCUAUCAUCCUUGCCUACAAUUCUUAGAAUUUGUUGAUUUUGGUGUGUAAUGUAUAGUCUGUACUGUGUAAUGUUCACAUCUCAUGGCUUGAAUGAUCUCAAAGUACCCAAAGGUACCUCAACUUAUUUUUUAAGCUAUUGUUUUUAAGGCAAAAUAAAUUAGCUUAAAUUCUCCCACAACCCUGAGAUUGUUAAUUAAUUCAGCCUUACUCCAUUAUACAAUUAGAAUUUAAACUCUCGGUCUGGAUGCUACAUCUGUUAACAAUGGGGAGUAAUGAAAGAAAUAAUGCUGAUGAUGAUUUAUAAUGACUUGCUCAUAGUAAAAUAGUAAAUGGAAGGGAAAAGCUCUGGGUUAAAAGAUGUGGAUGGAGAUCACAAUUAAGCAGUUGGCACAAAUAUUUUUCAUUCUUAAUUGACACUUCCCUUUAAUUUCCCAUUUAAUGGCUUAAGUGGUAAAUGAAUUCACAUGCUAAUUUAUUGUUUAUACUUAAAAAUCUUUCAGAAGUUUCAAAGGUAGAUCCUUCUUGAAUGGAGGUCACCAAAAUUUGGUCAUUUUAAUAUUUUUUCUCUAUUCUAACUGUUAAGUAGAAUAGAAAUUUUGUUGAUGCAUAAGUAAAUUUAUAAAACAACCAAAUGAGUUAAUUUAACUAUUUGCUCUUUAAAAAAGUAUAAUACCACAAACUUUGAUCUCAACCUCUUGGCAUCCACUUUGGAAUGCUGAAACUCAUCAAAUAUCUUGUUUGAAGAAAAAGCCCUUGAAAGUUUUGUAUUCAGAAAAAAAAAUGUGCUAAAAAAAUUAAAAAUCAACUAAAUUUUAGACAAAGCUUCAAAAGCUUUUUAUUCCUUUGAACUUGGGUACAAUAUUUGCAAUUAAGUACUUUUUAAACAUUCUUGGCAAACCUGAUCUCAGUUUAGUUUGAAAAUAAUUUGAAGAAUUCCUGUCAUAGCUCAGCAGGUUAAAAACCCAACCAGUAUCCAUGAGGAUGUGGGUUUGAUGCCUGGUCUCGCUUAGCUCAGUGGGUUAAGGAUCCAGUGUUGCCCUGAGCUCUGGUGUAGGUCGUAGAUGCAGCUCAGAUCCCAUGUUAACUGUGGCCUAGGCCAGCGUCUGCAGUUGAUUUGACCCCUAGCCUGGAAACUUCCAUAUGCCUAGGGUGUAGCUCAUUAAAAAAUAAGUUGAUAAUUCAGUGUUUCAGUAAUUUCAGCAUUUUAGGAAAACAUCUAAUUUAGCAAACUAAUCUUAAAGUGUGAUUUCACUUUUUUUAGGGAAAGGAGAAAGGAACUUCUGGUCGUAUAACUUAUUUAGCUCUACUUUUUUUUCACUGUUAAAAUAGGUAUCUUGGAGUGGAUUCAGAAGUUGUAAAUAGUUUAAACUGGGGUGGAGGAGAAUUAGGGUGGGUGAGAUAGUCAUAAGAUGAAAUUGAUUCAUGCUGAAAAGUACCUCAAGAACUUUGAGAUUCGAUCUCAUUUACCACUUUGAUGAUGUAGUAGAAGAGAAUAAACAGUAGUUAAUGAAAUUUAUAAGUGGGUCCAAAUUGGUAGUUGUUACCCAAGUUUAUUAAGAAUAAAGAAAAUUAAAAACAAUGAGAAACUAAGAAAGAUAAUUAGAAAGUCCUGUAAAUGAAUAAUCUUGGAAAGCAAAACUGAAUUUUGAUGUGUAAGAAUGGUGGUAAAACUGCUAUUCUAAGAGAUUUCAUGAUAUUCAUGAAAUGAAAGGUUAAUUAUAAUUCUACACAGGUGGAAUAGAAGUACACAGUAUUGAAACAGAUUCUGACUUAUUAUUUUAAAUCAGGGUAUUUUAAUACCAAGUUGUAACUGUUGCAUGAUAUCAAUAAAAUGGAGUCUUUAACAGUGAAAAACAGAUAGUGGGGUUAGAGUAUAUUUAUUCACACAAGUGGAACACUUGGCAUAUUCUAAAGUAUACAAAAUAUAUGACCAAGUAUACAAGGAGAAAGUGAAGUGUCACAAAAUAAGCCCACAAGGGCAGUUCCUGUCGUGGCGCAGUGGUCAACGAAUCCGACUAGGAACCUUGAGAUUGCAGGUUUGAUCCCUGGCCUUGCUCAGUGGGUUAAAGAUUGAGCGUUGCCGUGAGCUGUGGUGUAGGUCACAGAUGUGGCUUGGAUCCCUCGUCGCUGUGGCCCUGGCAUAGGCCAGUGGCUACAGCUCUUAUUUGACCCCUACCCUGGGAACCUCCAUAUCCUGCAGCAGCAGUCCUAGAAAAGGCAAAAAGUAAAAAAAAAAAAGAAAAAAAAAA